Non-coding RNA from Pelobates cultripes (western spadefoot toad), 234 nucleotides. NCBI's taxonomy places the organism in Eukaryota, Metazoa, Chordata, Amphibia, Anura, Pelobatidae. The record is from the annotation of a GenBank genome assembly.
CUAUUUUUAAAGGAAUUGGUUCCCAUGUUGUAAAUAGCAAAUUCCUCAGCUCAAUUUGACAUGGAAAUGUGAUUUCCUUUCCCAAGGCCCAAAGUGUUGUCUAUCCUGUUAUUUUAUUUAAGUGUUAACUCUCCCAGCCAUCCCUUUUCCUCUAACCCAAGGUGUGUUUUCCUAGAUAGGGACUCCUUUGAAGACCAGUUGAUAUGUAAAUGUGAUUGGUGCCUUUCAGGUGCU